This 681-nucleotide long non-coding RNA is filed under the name Lathyrus oleraceus (garden pea). Its description in RNAcentral is "Pisum sativum (pea) long non-coding RNA (PSAT_LNC041890)". Lineage: Eukaryota; Viridiplantae; Streptophyta; Magnoliopsida; Fabales; Fabaceae. The record is from RNAcentral.
GUUCAUAAGUCUUUGUAAUAAUCGCUUUGUUUAAAAAACCCUUCUCCCAUGCCAAAAGGAGAAGUGAUGACAUUGUUGGCAACAUUUUGUGCAAUGAUAUUUUCAUUCAAAUAAACUCAUGUUAAACAUUUGUUUUUCCAUUUGUUUUCCCUUUUCGCUUUUUGCGUGAAAUUGGUGAUCACAAAAAACCUUAAAAAACAAGAAUAAAAGCAAUCUUCUCAUCUGCAUAACGAUUGUCUUGUUUGAUUUUCAAAAAGCUUUUCAUAUCAAAAUCUUUAUGCAGGUUGUUUCUCAAACCCAUUGAACAUAAUGAUCGGACGCCAUCUCCCAAUUUUGAAUUCCCUGUAUUCGAAGCGGACGAAGAUGAUGUUGAAGGGAUUCCUGACGAGAUUUCCCGACUUCUUGAGCAAGAAAAGAAGAUCACUCAGCUGCAUCUCGAGAAUCAGCAAGAUGAUGUUGAAGGGAUUCCUGACGAGAUUUCCCGACUUCUUGAGCAAGAAAAGAAGAUCACUCAGCUGCAUCUCGAGAAUCAGCAGAACAGCCAACUGGGGCAUUAUAAAAAAAAAGAGAAAAAAAGAGAAAGAGGAAGGUGCAAAAUCAAAAAAAAAAAAAGGAAAUCAAUGAAAAUCAAAAGAAAUCAAAAGAAAGAAAAAGAAAAAAAAAACAAAAGAAAGAUAGCAC